This 4287-nucleotide unclassified non-coding RNA is filed under the name Hevea brasiliensis (rubber tree). The record is from RNAcentral. Lineage: Eukaryota; Viridiplantae; Streptophyta; Magnoliopsida; Malpighiales; Euphorbiaceae.
UUUGGUUAUAACACAUUUCAUUUACUCAGUUCUAUUCUUUACACUGUUCCGAAGCUAAGAUCAGAGCUAACUGCUCAGCUAAACUGUAACUUGUGUAAGUACCCAUUGUAAUGGGAGAUUGAAAGGCCAAAGGAAAAUGGAUUAAUAAAAAAGGGGGAAGAGGGAAGGGGUGGCUUUAUGCCUCAAGUUGCUCUAAAAUUACUGAGCGUCUUGGAAUUGAUGCCCAUGCUUCUUAGAAAGUAUGUUGUAGUUGCCAUUGAUGCCCUCUUGGUUCCUGUCUCUGCAAAUCAAUCUCCUCUUAUCCCCAAUUUCACCAAUUUCUAGCUAGUCCCACUAUUAAACUUCAGGUCCUCAACAGAAUAAUCUUCUGUGCUGCAAGGAUUCCCAUCAGUGUCACGUUGGCCCAGGAAAGCAAUUGAGUAAGAACAGUAAACAAAAUGUACUGAGAAUGAUACGAAAACAAAAUCUGAUUACAAAGCCUGAUCAAGCCUCAGAUUCCAUGCAUUGUGCAUUGUAGCGUAACUCAGCACACUGUAACAAGGCUACCAGGCUUAUUGACAAGGCAGUUAGAAAUCUUGAAAUGGAGGGUUUAGAUCAUAUCAAUUACAUACUGGGGUAUAGUAACUUCACUACAGACUAGAAGUCUGAUGGACCACAUCCCUUGUAUAGCUAGAUAAUAUUAAAAUAUGAAAUUAAAAUGAAAUAAUCCCAUUUAGAGGUAAAGUUUACUGCAAAUAUAAUCAAAAUAUCAGAUACUUACAUGACAUCUAGACUCCCGUAAAUUGUCGAGUGAGUUAGAAAUCUCAAGUUGCUUUACAACUGUAGCAUGUAGUACCCUCUUUGUUUUCUCAAGGUCAAACUCCACAGACUUGAUCCUCUCCAGCGAUUCCAUAAGCAUUUGCUCUUUUUCCAAUGGGAUUGCAGCAGGUUUGUUGCUAAGUUCCUCAACUACUUUUUCCAGGCUCUGAAGACGCUCCAUACAUGGGCGGACACAGUUUUCACUCACAGUUUCAACAGCUGUUGAAUGACUAUCAGCAUUAUGUUCCACAAGAUUAGAUGGAUGAAUAUUGUUCUGCCUUCUCCAAAGUUCAAGUGGUAAACUACGGAAAAAUGCUACUAGUUUGACCACAAAUGACAUCAGCAUUCUAGCCACACACAGAUUAUGCCUUUUCCCAAUCUUUUCCUUGACUAUGUCCAACCAAUGGCUGAUGAGACCUCCUUCCACAUUUGGUAGCAGUUCACUAUGCAAGUCGCCCAAUUCAUUGCUUUUAAGUGAUUGAUCUUCAGAAUGUCCCACUCGCAGGUUGCUUUGAACAGCCUUCUCAACCCGAGGAAAAUUUUCAUCACAACUGUAAUAGGUAUUUGGAUCUGAUGCUCUGACCUCCUCAUGAACAGGGGCCAAAUGUGGAAACAUAGAACUCCGAUUAAUUAGAGAAGGAUCAUCAAUUUCAGACCCUGAUUCAGCUGCUGAAGUUUCACUACUCCCCUUCUGCAGGGGCAUUUGAAUAUAUGAGUCAAAUUUCUGUUGGUUACUAGACACUCUGGUGAUUUGCCUCACAAAUGCUGCUUCCGCAUUAUGUACAAGCUUCAUCACAUCAGGAUCAUUCCAGGGACCUUUAUUUGAGCGCAAACACCCUCCUUCAGCAGAACAUGUGCAAGAACCACCCAAGAAGUCUGGCAAUUGACUGAAAAGAAAGAACAUACAAUUUAUAGAUGUUAUAAAGAAAUGCAAGAGAGUUAACAGACAAACCUUGAGUCAAUAACUUCCAGUAGCUUAGGCAGGGACUUGGGCUCCAAAACCUGUAUCUUUGCAAUAGUCUUUGCAUCUAGAAAUUUCUGAGCUGCAGGCCAGAGCAUCUUCUUAAAGCCAGGACCAGCAUUGACAAUAUACAUCCAAUGCAAUGUCUCAGGGUAGUAACUGUUAUCUAUCUUUGUCAUUGCAGCCAAGAGAUUUGCCGCAGUCCGAGUGAAAUUCUUAAUGCCCAAACCCUGUACAUCCAAUACUGUUGUAGUUGAACAUAUCUGCUUCCUUGCAGCAAUAGAACACGCCGGGAAUUUCUCCAGUAGUGCCCUCUCGAACUCUUGGACAUGGUAUUUCAAAUACCGAUCUAUAGUAGUGAUUUGCAUCAACCUACUUGGAUGAGCCUUUCCAAGCCUUUCAAUGUAAACUGGCCUGCCUUCCUUGUCAACUCCAUGGUAACCCUGAGGGUAAUAUUGCAAGACUUCUUCCAGCUCUUCAAACUCAAAAUCCUAAGUAGUGAUUUUUAAUUCAGUAUACUGCUAGAGUUGAAUGUCAAAAGAACUAGUAAAAAUCGUAAUUUCUCACAGGGAAUAAAUUAUAAUACAUAGGUAAUUAUCAGAAAUCAAAUGCUACCAAGAUUUUGCCCAAUUAAAAUUUACCUGCUGAUGCAGCUCCAAGUUUGUAAUUAAAUAAUAUUCUGUUUUACAUUGAGAAAAUGUUCAAGAAAUAAACUAAUCCUUAUAACAGACUAGAGCUCCACAACCUAACCUAUGAAAAAGCAACAAGGUUAGUGGCAUAAAUUAAAUUCAAUACCUCCAAUAUGGUGUCUGUUCCAUACUCUUUCCUCCAAUUAAGCAUUUCUUCCCACAUCUGGAUUGUUUUUUCAAUAUUAAACUCUCUAGCUUUCAAAAAUCUUAACAAGGUAUGAUAGUCAUCAUGCCUAGAAGGCAAUAAAUUCCUUUCAUGAAGCUUUUGGCGCAAUUCCAAUACAGCACUCUCCUCUUUUUCAUCCCUGACAUCCUCAAUGGAAACUGAGGAAACUCUAUAAUCAAUUUUUCUUUUCCCUCUUUUCUUAAGAGAAUGGGUGAACUUAUUGGAAGCAUUUAAUGCCUUUUUCUUAAGAGUGCCAAUUUUGGAUCGGCGUCUAUCAUCUUCAGAGUUAUCGAAAUCAGAUCUUCUCUCUCUGAGUUCAUAAUUAGCCCCAAUUCCUUCUAGGCCUUCAAUAAGACAACAAGCGAUUAAGCACCCCAUCAAUUAGUUUUAAUAUUAUCUAAAGCAUCAUAUAUACACCUGAGGCUGAGUUGCUCAUUGUAUAACUAACACUUCAUUUCAAUGUUCAAAUCAACGAACAGCUAAACAUACCUGACAUUUCCGCGAAAAAGGAAACCCUUAUUUUCAAAGUAGAAAACAAGAUUCAAAGCAACCUCAAAGACAUGUAUGCAGCUCUAAACUGUCAGAAACGAAAACCAAAAGGUGUUAUUGAAUACACUGCAGAUUUGAAAAGAAGAAGAAUUAGUUGGGACUGGCUGACAUAAACUAAAACCACCAACCUCCUUCCCCGGAAAAUUUAAAAUAAUAAUACUUAAAACCAAUAAGCAGUCAAGUACCUAAACACAAAUUAUCAAAGAUAUAUAAACCCUAUUUGUUUCAGGGAGCUCACCAGAUUCUCAUGGAACUUAAAAAUUUACAAGAACCACAGAUUAUUUAGUUCUGCUCACAAAGCUCUCGCAUGUUAAGCAAUCUCUAAAACCAAGUUAACCGACUAAAAUUCUCAGUAGUUAAAAAUCAGCGAAUCUGAAUCAGCUAAAUCUUGAAGAGAGAGAGAAGGGUUAUUGAAAGUGCACCCAUUUCUCUGUAUUGCUAAACAAACCAGGAAAACAUCAGGACUUCAUUUCGAACUGAGAUUCUACAAGCUUCAAUCCUUAGUUUACACAAGGGGAGGAAACAAGUUUUACAGUAGUUGAUCAUGCAAAGAACCCAGAAAAACCAAAAAAGAAUAUUUGUAUUAAGCUCAAAAAAAACUCAAAAAUCGAGAACAGUAAAAACCGUUAAAACCCAUAGCACAUAAACCAUCACUUGUCACAUUUAUACUACUGUAAAGCUCCCAGACCUGAAACCGCAUUAAAUCUCACCAAUGCCGACGCUAACCGUACGGAUCCCACCUAUGACUCAAUCAUUAAUGAAUGAAACCAAAAGCAAAAAACAACUCGAAUAGUUUCAAUGAGAAACAGAAACGCACCGAAUCAAAAGAACUCCAAAUCUGAGGAGCUACUACACCUACACGCAUCGAUUCACGCGAAGAAGAGAAGAGAAGAGAAGUAAAGCAAGCAGGAACAGAAUCUCUCUCUGGAAACACGGAGGAGGAGGAGGAGGAGGGCGGAGGAGGAGGAGGUGGGCGGAAGAGAAGGAGAGAGAGAGAAAAUUUCCCCGAGAAAAUGUACAGAGUUUUCUGGAGAAAGUGGACGGAAAAGAAAAAUCAAAAACAAAAAAGUACGGAUCUGAAAUUAUUAUUAGUGUUUAUGUUGGUUAUGUUUCUCUUCUCUCUU